AGCAUAUUAGAGACUGGACAUGCGAAUCAAAAUGUCAUUACGAAUUUAAGAAUUGUUGUAAUCCCAAUGCAGGGAAGUUUAUGUUGGACGGCGGUUCGAUUCCGCCCAGCUCCACCAAAAGCGUUACUAUGGUUUAAGGUUUGGCCUUACCGGCGUAGCGAAAAUGGCGUCACAAGUUAGAGCGCUUUUGAUGGGGCUGACCAGGUUUCGACAGCGUAGGUAACUCACAUUGGCAACACGGUAGGCGAUGACCGUAUAAAUCAAGCAAAAACUGUAAACGCAAAUGAUGCGAAUUACGCUGUUGCAGCCUAGGCUGUAACCGAGUAGAUCACCACAAGUAAUUGUGCUUGGGAACAGAAAGUGAUCAGCAGGUGGCUAGCAAUAACCACCUGCUA
RNAcentral lists this transfer-messenger RNA (395 nucleotides) under Methylotenera sp. It matches the Rfam family "Betaproteobacteria transfer-messenger RNA". From Rfam's summary of the family: Bacterial tmRNA, also known as 10Sa RNA or SsrA, is named for its dual tRNA and mRNA-like properties. The record is from RNAcentral. Lineage: Bacteria; Pseudomonadati; Pseudomonadota; Betaproteobacteria; Nitrosomonadales; Methylophilaceae.